RNAcentral lists this long non-coding RNA (470 nucleotides) under Sinocyclocheilus anshuiensis. RNAcentral's name for it is "lncRNA (ENSSANG00000008672.1)". Lineage: Eukaryota; Metazoa; Chordata; Actinopteri; Cypriniformes; Cyprinidae. The record is from RNAcentral.
UAUAUCUUAUGAUGCAGGGUGGACAAGUGUCGUGUGAAUCUGCAACAUCUUCAUGUCCGUCUGCGAGUUGCACGCACCCAACAAAACCACACGACCAGUGCUGUCCAACUUGUAACACUUGUGAAUAUGAAGGAAGGGUUUAUGAAAAUGGACAAGAUUUCAGGCCUCCCGGUGGAGGUCCAUGCAUCCAGUGUUUAUGCAAGAAUGGUAACGUGAGAUGUCAUCAGGAAAGAUGCCCACUUUUGAGCUGUGCAGUUCCCACUCCAGCCCCUCUUAACACCUGCUGUCCAGUGUGCAGCGGAUGUACAUGGAAUGGUGUUCAAUAUGAAGAAGGAGCCACAUGGACUGACGCUGGCCAAACAUGUUCUUGUGUGGGUGGACAGGUGACGUGUAGUAGGCCUAAAAGGGGCUCGGACUGUCCCAAACCGACCCCCGCACCCUUCCCAAAUCCCCCAGGUAAGAGAAAGAAA